RNAcentral lists this ribosomal RNA (477 nucleotides) under uncultured Glomeromycotina. Its description in RNAcentral is "SSU rRNA". It matches the Rfam family "Eukaryotic small subunit ribosomal RNA", at positions 712 to 1187 of the family's 1831-position model. The record is from RNAcentral. Lineage: Eukaryota; Fungi; Glomeromycota.
CGUCAUGCGAUUCACUUGGUGUGGCGGAGAUCCAGGACUUUUACCUUGAGAAAAUUAGAGUGUUUAAAGCAGGCAAACGCUUGAAUACGUCAGCAUGGAAUAAUGAAAUAGGACAUCCGAUUCUAUUUUGUUGGUUUCUAGGAUCGAUGUAAUGAUUAAUAGGGAUAGUUGGGGGCAUUAGUAUUCAAUUGUCAGAGGUGAAAUUCUUGGAUUUAUUGAAGACUAACUACUGCGAAAGCAUUUGCCAAGGAUGUUUUCAUUAAUCAAGAACGAAAGUUAGGGGAUCGAAGACGAUCAGAUACCGUCGUAGUCUUAACCAUAAACUAUGCCGACUAGGGAUCGGAUGAUGCUUAUUUUUUAAUGACUCAUUCGGCACCUUACGGGAAACCAAAGUGUUUGGGUUCCGGGGGGAGUAUGGUCGCAAGGCUGAAACUUAAAGGAAUUGACGGAAGGGCACCACCAGGGGUGGAGCCUGCG